RNAcentral lists this long non-coding RNA (1320 nucleotides) under Marmota monax (woodchuck). Lineage: Eukaryota; Metazoa; Chordata; Mammalia; Rodentia; Sciuridae. The record is from RNAcentral.
AAUUGAUAUACAUAAGGAAUUAUAGAGAUUUCAAAGGAAAACUAAGACUUUUUCUUUCCAUUUGGUAUAUGACUGUACUGAGUGAUAUCCAAAACCAUUUUGGAAUGCUACUAGAAAAUCCUAGGGGCCCUGGGCAUAGGAACAGUUUGUAUUUCAGGCUGAUCCUUUAAAGAAGUAUAGUUCACUGGGCAUGGUGGCAUAGGCCUUUAUUCCCAUCAGCUCAGGAGGCUAAGGCAAGAGGAUUGCAAGUUCAAAGCCAGCAUCUCAGCAAGACCUUGUCUCAAAUAAAGGCUGGGGAUGUGGCUUAAUGGUUAAGCUCCCUUGGAUUCAGUCCUUAAUCCCCCCAAAAAAGUGUAGUUUACUAAGCACUUGCACAUGCCUGCAGUCUGUGUUCAAGGUUGAGGCAGGAGGCUCUCAAGUUUCAUGUCAGUCUCAGUAAUUUAUCAAGACCCUUUAAAAAAUAAGAAGUACUAGCUAGGGGUAUAGAGGCACACACCUAUAACAUCAGUGCUCAGGAGCUGAAGCAGGAGGAUCAAAAGUUCAAAGUCAGCCGUAGCAAAUUAGUGAGGCCCUAAGCAACAUAAGUGACAGACACCCUGUCUCAAAGUACUGGUGAUAUAGCUAAGUGGUUUUAAUCCCCACCAUCCCACCCUAAAAAAAAGAGAGGUUAUACCUUAGGCACAUGCCUGCAAUCACAGUGGCUUGGGAAAUAGACUGGGAGAUCAUAAAUUCAAAGAUAAGUUCCUUUUAGCAAUACCUGGGGAUGUAGCUAUUUGGCUCACUGGUAUAGUACCCUUAGUAUUUGGGGGUGGAGAGAAUAGUAUUGCUUAGGUUCUGACCCUGUUAAAGGAAUGCUGUUUCUUCAAAGCUAUAGUGAGCCCUGAGAUGGGUUUCUCUUAAGUUGUUUGGGGCCUUGCUAAAUUGCCAAGGCUGGCCUUGGAAUUGGGGUUCUCCUGCCUCAUCAAGAAUUCCUUAUUAGGAUUUCAGUCUAGUGCCAUUACACCCAGGAAAGCCCUAGAUUGUAGUUUCAACUUUCUCUGGAGGAUGCUAAAGUAAUCAGCUUAACUGAAGUGUACGAUAGUUCUUAGCUUAAAUGGGGAAACUGUUAGACUCUUAUUUAUUCUCCUGGAAAGACAGUUCUAGAAGUUAAGGAUUCAUUGGCUGACUGGCAAUCCUUUUAUCUAUAAGCAUUAAGAAACUACCUUGGGCCUGGGGUUGUGGCUCACUGGUAGAGCACUAGCCACUGGGUGAGGCACUGGGUUCAGUCCUCAGCACCACAUUAAAAAAGAAAGCUAUUGUAUCCAUCUAUGACUAAGCAAA